ACCAGGCGCCGUGGCGCGGGCCUGUAGUCCCAGCUACUCGGGAGGCUGAGGCUGGAGGAUCGCUUGAGUCCAGGAGUUCUGGGCUGUAGUGUGCUAUGCUGAUCAGUCCGCACUAAGUUCAGCAUCAAUAUGGUGACCCCCUGGGAGCAGGGGACCAGGUUGCCUAAGGAAAAGUGAACCAGCCAAGGUCGGAAACGGAGCAGGUGGAAACUCCCCUGCUGGUCAGUAGUGGGAUCUCGCCACUGCGCUGUGAAUAGCUACUGCACUCCAGCCUGGGCAACAUGGCGAGACCCCGUUUUUU
This is an unclassified non-coding RNA of Callithrix jacchus (white-tufted-ear marmoset), 301 nucleotides long. It matches the Rfam family "Metazoan signal recognition particle RNA". From Rfam's summary of the family: The signal recognition particle (SRP) is a universally conserved ribonucleoprotein. It is involved in the co-translational targeting of proteins to membranes. The record is from Ensembl. NCBI's taxonomy places the organism in Eukaryota, Metazoa, Chordata, Mammalia, Primates, Cebidae.